NNNNNNNNNNNNNNNNNNNCCAGGGCACUGUGUGUGAUGGGGAUGGCAGCACUGGGGGUCACAUUCUGCACUAGAGCCAAGCGGGCUGCAAUGGACCAGGGGGUAAUGGGGGGGGGGGGGACACAGGGGAUAGGCAGGAGUGCCUGCUUUGUCCUCAUCUCCUUGAGCUACAGCUGCAAGAAGGUGGUGGUGGGGGCAUUGUCUACGUGCCCCCCCACCCCCCUCCAGGCUGUGCACUGGGUGGAGGGGAAACUGAGGCAGAGAGGACGGCACCGUUCACCCAAGGUCACCUCGAGCCAACAGCACAGCCCUGCCCUGCUCCCCGGAGGGCAAUGCCCCCCCCCCAGCCCAAACAGGGCCAGCUCCCCCCUCUCCCCCUCCUCCAGUUGGGCAGGAGGGUGCUCAGGACCCCCCACCACAAUUGACAUGCAUGAUGCAGGAGGAAAGGAGGCCAGGCCUGGGGAGGGGGGAGGUGCUGGGGGGGGGGGGGGGGCAUGCUGCGGGCAGGAUGCCCAUGGUGACAGCAGCGAGGGUGACAGGGCAGGAUUUGGGCCAAGCUCAGCGCAACCCACAUUAUUUUGGGGUUACAUCACCAAAAUCCAUCACUAUAGUGCAGAGUCCCCAAGGAGAUGUCAACCCCCCAGCCCCCACAUGGAGAUGCUCAGCUGUGCUCUGACCCGGGGAGUGCCAGCACCCCCGGCACAUAUGGGGCGGCCCUAUGGGGUGUCACUCCCCCCCAUACCUGUACCCACUGUGGGAACAGGGAGGAAAAGUUACAGUUCCAGGGAGACAGUGCUGGGCACCCCUCCUCUCCGGGGGGGGGCUCUGUCAUCUCUGGGCCUGUGGGUUGUUUAGGGGGCGAAGCGCUUCCUACUGCCCCCUAGUCUGAGCACUCACUGGUCCCCUCUGCUGUCCUGCCCCAUUGCAGCCCCCCACCACAAUCCCUCCAGCUGAGGCCGAAUGGGGUGGGGGCCUACACCAGCCCCCCCCCCACCCCAUUCCUGUCCCAAUAUUCCACACCCCAGCUGCUUCUUAUAGGGUAGCAGAGCCCUGUGAAGCAGGGAGCCCUCCCCAUCCUAUUCUGUCUCUUCUCCACCUCCCCCCAGUUCGGGAGUGCCCCCCUUUCCUCCCCACGGCUCUCCCAGGGCUCAGUACAUUGCAUUC
Molecule: long non-coding RNA, 1164 nt
Filed under: Numida meleagris (helmeted guineafowl)
Lineage: Eukaryota; Metazoa; Chordata; Aves; Galliformes; Numididae
Description: lncRNA (ENSNMEG00000002952.1)
Source: RNAcentral